Molecule: ribosomal RNA, 482 nt
Filed under: uncultured bacterium
Lineage: Bacteria
Description: partial 16S ribosomal RNA
Rfam family: Bacterial small subunit ribosomal RNA
Source: RNAcentral
AUUGAACGCUGGCGGCAUGCUUUACACAUGCAAGUCGAACGGUAACAGGCCGCAAGGUGCUGACGAGUGGCGAACGGGUGAGUAAUGCAUCGGAACGUGCCCAGUCGUGGGGGAUAACUACUCGAAAGAGUAGCUAAUACCGCAUACGAUCUAUGGUUGAAAGCGGGGGACCGUAAGGCCUCGCGCGAUUGGAGCGGCCGAUGUCAGAUUAGGUAGUUGGUGGGGUAAAGGCUCACCAAGCCAACGAUCUGUAGCUGGUCUGAGAGGACGACCAGCCACACUGGGACUGAGACACGGCCCAGACUCCUACGGGAGGCAGCAGUGGGGAAUUUUGGACAAUGGGCGCAAGCCUGAUCCAGCAAUGCCGCGUGCAGGAAGAAGGCCUUCGGGUUGUAAACUGCUUUUGUAAGGAACGAAACGGCUCUGGUUAAUACCCGGGGCUAAUGACGGUACCGUAAGAAUAAGCACCGGCUAACUACGUG